Molecule: ribosomal RNA, 428 nt
Filed under: uncultured bacterium
Lineage: Bacteria
Description: partial 16S ribosomal RNA
Rfam family: Bacterial small subunit ribosomal RNA
Source: RNAcentral
GUGGGGAAUAUUGGGCAAUGGGCGCAAGCCUGACCCAGCAACGCCGCGUGAAGGAAGAAGGCUUUCGGGUUGUAAACUUCUUUUACCAGGGACGAAACAAAUGACGGUACCUGGUGAAUAAGCCACGGCUAACUACGUGCCAGCAGCCGCGGUAAUACGUAGGUGGCGAGCGUUAUCCGGAUUUAUUGGGUGUAAAGGGCGUGUAGGCGGGACAGCAAGUCAGAUGUGAAAACCAGAGGCUCAACCUCUGGCCUGCAUUUGAAACUGUUGUUCUGGAGUGUCGGAGAGGUAAUCGGAAUUCCGUGUGUAGCGGUGAAAUGCGUAGAUAUACGGAGGAACACCAGUGGCGAAGGCGGAUUACUGGACGAAAACUGACGCUGAGGCGCGAAAGCGUGGGGAGCAAACAGGAUUAGAAACCCUAGUAGUCC